Molecule: non-coding RNA, 236 nt
Organism: Pelobates cultripes (western spadefoot toad)
Lineage: Eukaryota; Metazoa; Chordata; Amphibia; Anura; Pelobatidae
Source: the annotation of a GenBank genome assembly
CUGCAUUACAUUUUUUAGCAAAUUGAGUUAAUGUAACUCUUCUGUUUGAUCGGCCCAAAUGGGCUAGCCUUUGCUCCUCCCAUGCAUCAGUGAGGUAACUAACCACUGCAUACCAGAAACAUCCCACAAGACUUGCCAUUUUGGACAUGCUCCGACCCAGUCGUCUAGCCAUCACUAUUUGGCCCAUGUCCAAGUCACUCAGUUCCUUUCGCUUGCCCAUUUUUCCUGCUUCCAAC